CUCGGCCUUCCCACAGCCCCUGAGUCACUGGGGAAGGCGCGUGCGGAGAGCCCGCCUACAAAAUCGCUCAAUUUCCCAAACCGCGUACUCAAGAGUCCAGGACUUGUUUUGUUCCGGAGCCUCUGGCUCAGUGGCAGCUCCCUGCAGAUGCAGUUACUGCUCCGGGCCCAGGACACACGUGGCCUGCCACACUACCCAGCCUGCUCCUUCUGCACCUCUCUCCUCCGCUCACCGCUGCACCAAGGGCGGGGACAUUUUAGCAUUCGAGGGAAAUGCACUGGAGAUCACUAGGGCCACAUGGAUUUUCUCCCAGUGCAGCCCUAGAGCCACAGGCCGCAGUAACCCGACGCUUGACAAGUUCACCGUGCAUCCUGUUGACAAGUUCACCGCGCGCAUCCUGGAAGCUGUUUUCUUUCUGACCCAAACGACAAAUCGUCAAACCAGAGGAGCCAAGGCUCUGCGACAAACCACUGGCGCGUGUGGCAGCUGCCAGAGGCCAGAGCCAGCGAUAAGACAGAUGACCAAAUUUGGCUGUUCAGAGAUCUGCCGGAGCUCAAGGAAGUUGGAAAGGAAAGGCCUGGCAUGGGGUAGGCAGGAGGCAGCAGCCUGAUGAGGUUCCCACAGGUCACCCACUGGCCCCCAGCCUGGAGGGCCCACAGACCAAACCCACUGGGGGCCGAUGUGUGGACCAGAGGCUGGUCUGUCCAGAUGUCCAGCCUGUGCUGUCAUUCCUCCCUGGAGCCCUAGAUCCUGGGCAAAGUAGCACCAUACAGUGAUGUUUUGAUGACAGACAAACUGCAGAGGUGGUGACAUCGUGGCUGUCCUAGUUUACAUCAGUCCAUUCAGUCCUUCACACAGUGACAAAAUCCCUGAAGGUAGAACUAGUGUUCAAGACCAUGUAUUCCCUGUCUCUCUGAAGUUCAUGCACACAGCCCCUUCAAAGAUGCCCUCGGUGAAUCCAGGGUCUUCACGCUGAGUGAGCUACCUCCUCAGCCAUUUUUAUUUUAUUUCAUUUCUUUUCUUUUGAGAUAGGGUCUUGGUAAGUUGCCCAGACCUGGUUUGAACUUGUGGUCCUCCUGCCCCAGCCUCCCAGAGUGCUGGGAUUACAGGCCUGGGCCACCACACAGACUGGGCUAAUUAUUUUUUAACAGAGAAAGUGGAGAGAGGGCCUAUUGGUCACCAGGCAGAAAGAGGAGAAAAGGGCGGGAGGGAGGAAGUUCAUUCACUUCGGAGAUAACUGGACACCGAUGAAUUGUUAACUGGAAUCUAUAGAGGAUGAGAAGCUUUGGAAGCAGUUUUUUCUUUCCUGGUUAAAAAAAAUAAAAAUAACAACAAAAAAAAUCCCACCUUUCAGGUGUUAAUCUUUCUAAAUUACUUUAUUGAUUUCCUCCCUUAGUUACUAAGGUCUAAUAGCCUUUGUAGGUAUCUGAUGACCAUAGACUGUUAAAGAUAUAGCAAUCAUGUUAUAAAAGAUUGUU
This is a non-coding RNA of Heterocephalus glaber (naked mole-rat), 1478 nucleotides long. NCBI's taxonomy places the organism in Eukaryota, Metazoa, Chordata, Mammalia, Rodentia, Bathyergidae. The record is from RefSeq and is a predicted model, not a curated record.